CCCUUGAGUACAACAGUUGUUGGAGUUGCAGUCUUUUCAGUUACACGGAAUAAGAGAGUUAUAACUGAAAAGAUGCAAAUAUCAAUUCCUGAUCCAGCAAAUGCAUCAAAUAUUCCUCCAAUAAUUCCAGUAAAGAACAGAACCCAUCCUUUCCAUGCACAGAAUUCUGGAAUUUCACGGAAUGUUGAUCUCUUCUUUUGAGCAUUCAAAAUUCCCAAUGCAAAUG
Molecule: non-coding RNA, 226 nt
Organism: Caenorhabditis elegans
Lineage: Eukaryota; Metazoa; Nematoda; Chromadorea; Rhabditida; Rhabditidae
Source: Ensembl